GACGAACGCUGGCGGCGUGCUUAACACAUGCAAGUCGAACGGAAAGGCCCUGCUUUUGUGGGGUGCUCGAGUGGCGAACGGGUGAGUAACACGUGAGUAACCUGCCCUUGACUUUGGGAUAACUUCAGGAAACUGGGGCUAAUACCGGAUAGGAGCUCCUGCUGCAUGGUGGGGGUUGGAAAGUUUCGGCGGUUGGGGAUGGACUCGCGGCUUAUCAGCUUGUUGGUGGGGUAGUGGCUUACCAAGGCUUUGACGGGUAGCCGGCCUGAGAGGGUGACCGGCCACAUUGGGACUGAGAUACGGCCCAGACUCCUACGGGAGGCAGCAGUGGGGAAUAUUGCACAAUGGGCGGAAGCCUGAUGCAGCAACGCCGCGUGCGGGAUGACGGCCUUCGGGUUGUAAACCGCUUUCGCCUGUGACGAAGCGUGAGUGACGGUAAUGGGUAAAGAAGCACCGGCUAACUACGUGCCAGCAGCCGCGGUGAUACGUAGGGUGCGAGCGUUGUCCGGAUUUAUUGGGCGUAAAGGGUUCGUAGGUGGUUGAUCGCGUCGGAAGUGUAAUCUUGGGGCUUAACCCUGAGCGUGCUUUCGAUACGGGUUGACUUGAGGAAGGUAGGGGAGAAUGGAAUUCCUGGUGGAGCGGUGGAAUGCGCAGAUAUCAGGAGGAACACCAGUGGCGAAGGCGGUUCUCUGGGCCUUUCCUGACGCUGAGGAGCGAAAGCGUGGGGAGCGAACAGGCCUAGAUACCCUGGUAGUCCACGCUGUAAACGGUGGGUACUAGGUGUGGGGUCCAUUCCACGGGUUCCGUGCCGUAGCUAACGCUUUAAGUACCCCGCCUGGGGAGUACGGCCGCAAGGCUAAAACUCAAAGGAAUUGACGGGGCCCCGCACAAGCGGCGGAGCAUGCGGAUUAAUUCGAUGCAACGCGUAGAACCUUACCUGGGUUUGACAUGGAUCGGGAGUGCUCAGAGAUGGGUGUGCCUCUUUUGGGGUCGGUUCACAGGUGGUGCAUGGCUGUCGUCAGCUCGUGUCGUGAGAUGUUGGGUUAAGUCCCGCAACGAGCGCAACCCCUGUUCACUGUUGCCAGCACGUUAUGGUGGGGACUCAGUGGAGACCGCCGGGGUCAACUCGGAGGAAGGUGGGGAUGACGUCAAGUCAUCAUGCCCCUUAUGUCCAGGGCUUCACGCAUGCUGCAAUGGCUGGUACAGAGAGUGGCGAGCCUGUGAGGGUGAGCGAAUCUCGGAAAGCCGGUCUCAGUUCGGAUUGGGGUCUGCAACUCGACCUCAUGAAGUCGGAGUCGCUAGUAAUCGCAGAUCAGCAACGCUGCGGUGAAUACGUUCCCGGG
Molecule: ribosomal RNA, 1343 nt
Filed under: uncultured bacterium
Lineage: Bacteria
Description: 16S ribosomal RNA
Rfam family: Bacterial small subunit ribosomal RNA
Source: RNAcentral